This 450-nucleotide ribosomal RNA is filed under the name uncultured bacterium. RNAcentral describes it as "partial 16S ribosomal RNA". It matches the Rfam family "Bacterial small subunit ribosomal RNA", at positions 29 to 523 of the family's 1533-position model. The record is from RNAcentral.
AACGAACGCUGGCGGCAGGCCUAACACAUGCAAGUCGAGCGGGCACUUCGGUGUCAGCGGCGGACGGGUGAGGAAUACAUAGAUACCUGCCUUAAAGUCUGGGAUAGCGACUGGAAACGGUCGGUAAUACUGGAUACGCCCUACGGGGGAAAGAUUUAUCGCUUUAAGAUGGUUUUUAUGUCGGAUUAGCUAGUUGGUGGGGUAAGUGCUUACCAAGGCUAUGAUCCGUAGCUGGUCUGAGAGGAUGAUCAGCCACACUGGGACUGAGACACGGCCCAGACUCCUACGGGAGGCAGCAGUGGGGAAUAUUGGACAAUGGGGGCAACCCUGAUCCAGCCAUGCCGCGUGAAUGAAGAAGGCCUUAGGGUUGUAAAGUUCUUUCGCUAGGGAAGAUAAUGACUGUACCUAGAUAAGAAGCCCCGGCUAACUCCGUGCCAGCAGCCGCAGUAA